CAAAGAGUGACGGCGUUGGAUCUUUCGUUCAUGGGUCUUCGGGGCACCAUCCCUCCUGAAAUUGGAAAAUUAUCUUUCCUUUCUUCGUUCACAAUCACGAACAACAGUUUUCAUGGCUCUCUUCUCAGUGAAUUGGCUCAUUUGCCUAGGUUGAAAAUCGUUGAUAUCGCAAACAACAACUUCAGCGGAGAAAUCCCAUCACUGUUGAACUUUUUGCAAAAGCUCGAAAGGUUGGUUCUUCAUGGAAACAAUUUCAUGGGCACUAUUCCACCUUGGCUCUUCAACAUUUCCACACUGAAGCAUGUUAAUUUGUCCCAUAAUCUUUUACACGGGAAUAUUCCAGCACCAGCAGAGUUUGGUAAUAUAGAGGUGAUCGAUGUGAGCUCGAACCAGAUUUCAGGUUCCAUUCCAUCAACUUUCUGGAACAUGUCCUCGUUGCAGCUUUUGUACUUGGGAUACAACAGGCUGUCUGGUAGCCUUCCUGAUGAUUUGUGCCAAAGACUUACUUUUCUUCAAGAACUCGCGGUAGAUGAUAAUGGGCUUUCUGGUCCCAUUCCAUCCCAUAAUUUAUCUCGGUGCAGAGAGCUUAAUACUCUGUAUCUUGGGGAUAA
This 611-nucleotide unclassified non-coding RNA is filed under the name Hevea brasiliensis (rubber tree). Lineage: Eukaryota; Viridiplantae; Streptophyta; Magnoliopsida; Malpighiales; Euphorbiaceae. The record is from RNAcentral.